This is a long non-coding RNA of Sinocyclocheilus rhinocerous, 152 nucleotides long. RefSeq lists it as uncharacterized. Lineage: Eukaryota; Metazoa; Chordata; Actinopteri; Cypriniformes; Cyprinidae. The transcript is spliced from 3 exons. The record is from RefSeq and is a predicted model, not a curated record.
AAGAAAUAUAGAGAUGAGUACCAUCAGCAUAACAGUGAAAGAUAACACCAUGUUUCUUGAUGACAUUUCCCAAGGGUAACAUGAAAAACGUGAAAAGCAGCGGUCCUAGUACUGAGCCUUGUGGUACUCCAUACUGCACUUGUGAUCGUGAU